GGCAAGAUGGCCGAGUGGUUAAGGCGUGUGACUCAAGCGAACUGCUUGCCUGCUCAGCGGGUCUUCUCAUAACGUAAUGUUGCGUGGGUUCGAAUCCCACUCUUGUCA
RNAcentral lists this transfer RNA (108 nucleotides) under Agrocybe pediades. It matches the Rfam family "tRNA". Rfam says of the family: Transfer RNA (tRNA) molecules are approximately 80 nucleotides in length. Their secondary structure includes four short double-helical elements and three loops (D, anti-codon, and T loops). Lineage: Eukaryota; Fungi; Basidiomycota; Agaricomycetes; Agaricales; Agrocybaceae. The record is from Rfam by way of RNAcentral.